GCAAACUUGGUCAUUUAGAGGAAGUAAAAGUCGUAACAAGGUUUCCGUAGGUGAACCUGCGGAAGGAUCAUUAACGAAUUGUGGCUGUGUAGCCAAAAUUCCUUAUCCAUCCGUGCUUGCUAACUUGUGUUUUGGCGGUAUGGGGGGUUAUUUUCUAGCGGAUGAGCGAGAAAAUGUAUACCGCCAAUGGAUUUACAUGCAUUAUAUGAUUGUCUGAAUUGUUUUAGAAAAAGAAAUCUAGAAAAGAGAAAAACUAUGAACAACGGAUCUCUAGGCUCUUGCAUCGAUGAAGAACGCAGC
Molecule: unclassified non-coding RNA, 300 nt
Filed under: uncultured fungus
Lineage: Eukaryota; Fungi
Description: partial contains small subunit ribosomal RNA, internal transcribed spacer 1, and 5.8S ribosomal RNA
Rfam family: Eukaryotic small subunit ribosomal RNA (bases 1-73)
Source: RNAcentral